RNAcentral lists this long non-coding RNA (3615 nucleotides) under Homo sapiens (human). Its description in RNAcentral is "HSALNT0006288". Lineage: Eukaryota; Metazoa; Chordata; Mammalia; Primates; Hominidae. The record is from RNAcentral.
CUUGAACCCAGGAGGCAGAGUUUGCAGUGAGCCAAGAUCCUGCCAUUACACUCCAACCUGGGCAACAAGAGCAAAACUCCGUCUUAAUAAAAAAAAAAAAAAAAAAAAGAACAAAGGGUAACCUAUUAGAAAGUAACAAGGGGCAGGGCGUGGUGGCUCAUGCCUGUAAGGCCCAGGCAGGCAGAUCAUGAGGUCAGGAGUUCGAGGCCAGCCUGACCAACAUGGUGAAACCCCAUCUCUACUAAAAUACAAAAAUUAGCUGGGCGUGGUGGCGCACGCCUGUAAUACCAGCUACUCAGGAGGCUGAGGCAGGAGAACCGCUUGAACCCAGGAGGCGGAGGUUGCAGUGAGCUGAAAUUGUGCCACUGCACUCCAGCGUGGGCGACAGAGUGAGACUCUGUCAAAAAAAAACAAAAAAAAAAAAAAGAAAGAAAGAAACAAGGGCUCGGGUGCAGUGGCUUACCCCUGUAAUCCCAGCACUUUGGGAGGCCCAGGCAGGCAGAUCACAAGCUCAAGACCAGCCAGACCAACAUGUUGAAACCCCGUCCCAACUAAAAAUACAAAAAUUCGCUGAGUAUGGUGGCAGACACCUGUAAUCCCAGCUACUUGGGAGGCUGGGGCAGGAGAAUUGGUUGAAUCCGGGAGGCAGAGGUUGCAGUAAGCCAAAAUCAUGCCACUGCACUCCAGCCUGGGUAACAGAGCAAGACUCCGUCUCAGAAAAAAAGAAAAAAAGAAAAAAGAAAAGAGAGUAACAAGGGAGGCCAUUUUAUAAAUGGGUGAGCAGGGAAGGUGACAUUGGAGCUGCGUGUUCCAAGCAGAGAGAAGAGCUAACAUGAAAGCUCUGAAGCAGGGCCCAGCUUGAGAUAAUCAAGAAACCAAGGCCGGGCGUGGUGGCUCAUACCUGUAAUCCCAGCACUUUGAGAGGCCGAGGCGGGCAGAUCACGAGGUAAGGAGAUCAAGACCAUCCUGGUUGACAUGGUGAAACCCUGUCUCUACUAAAAAUACAAAAAUUAGCUUGGGCAUGGUGGCGCGUGCCUGUAAUUCAAUCUACUCAGGAGGCUGAGGCAAUAGAAUCGCUUGAACCCGGGAGGCAGAGGGAGGUUGCAGCGAGCCAAGAUCGCGCCACUGCACUCCAGCCUGGGCAACAGAGCAAGACUCUAUCUCAAAAAAAAAAAAAAAACUACCUGGGCGUGGUGUCGCUUGCCUAUAAUCCCAGCUAUUCAGGAGGCUGAGGCAAGAGAAUUGCUUGAACCCAGGAGGUGGAGGUUGCAGUGAGCUGAGAUCGCGCCACUGCACUCCAGCCUGGCAACAGAACUAGACUCCGUCUCAAAAAAAGAAAAAGAAAUAAAGGAGGCCGUUUUAUAAAUGGGUGAGCAGGGAAGGUGACAUUGGAGCCACGUUCCAAGCCUCCUCAGUAGCUGGGACUACAGAUGCACGCCACCAUGCCUGUCAAGACUUUUUGUACUUUUAGUAGAGACAGGGUUUCGCCAUGUUGGCCAGGCUAGUCUGGAGCUCCUGACCUCGGUGAUCCACCCGCCUCAGCCUCCCAAAGUGCGAGGAUUACAGGCAUGAGCCACUGCGCCUAGCCUGAUUUAUACUUUUAAAAGAUCAUUCCAGCUCUGUGUGGAGAAUGGAUUAGAGGGCAGCCAGGGUUGAAAGCAGGGAGCCCAGAAGGGAAGUCACUGCAGCGUCCAGAUGAGGGAGGUGGCUUGGACUAGAGCAUGGUGGUGGAGAUGAAACACAGUGGCCAUGUACUAGCCUCAGUGACCACUUCCCCCUCCCCUUGGCAGCAUUUGACCCCUUGUCUAUCCUGUCCCCCAGCCCUAAUCACAGGAGGAACAGAUGUGUUUGUGUCAAUGUCCACGUCCCCAGAAGCCCAGGCUUGACUCAGGUCAGCUGAGGUCUGGACAUGGCCAUGCUGAGGCUCCAAGGGCUGAAUCAAUGAACGAGUGAAGGCACCUCCACUCUGCAGCCUCGUGUCUGAAGGCACAAAGAUAUCGGUAACUGAAAGAGAGAAAUGGGGCAGGAGGAGGAAGCUGGGGCAGAUGGUAGUGGUUUUAUGAAAAAGGCAAAAUUACAGCAGUGGUUACAAGAAAUCAGGGCAAAGUGCAGCAUCUACCUAGAUGUCCCAAUCUGGGUGUCCCCAUGUAGGUUGGGACCUCACCUCUGCCCUGAAAAUGGCCCCACAGAGGCAGGGAUGGCACUGGGAGAUGGUGCAGGCGCCAAUGGGUGUGGCAACCUGGAGGGCAAAGCACUUCUGGAGGAGUAUGAAAACCAGGGUGGAGAAGGAAGUCUUGGGAAGGCAACUCUUCUAGAAAGAAUCUGAGACAGACAGGUAGGAGCCGUGGACCUGCCCUACCUAGAGGGCUCAGGCUCUGAAACAUCUCCAGCCAGCAGGAGAAUUAGGGCUGGGGCCAGGGAAGAGCAAAGCAACUGGGCUAAUGGGGUUAAGAAACUCCUAGGGUCAGCCGGGCAUGGUGGCUUUCACCUGUAAUCCCAGCACUUUGGGAGGCCGAGGUGGGCGGAUCACCUGAGGUCGGGAGUUCAAGACCAGUCUGACCAACAUGGAGAAACCCCGUCUCUACUAAAAAUACAAAAUUAGCCGGGCAUGGUGGCGCAUGCCUGUAAUCCCAGCUGCUCAGGAGGCUGAGGCAGGAGAAUCACUUGAACCCAAGAGGUGGAAAAUUGCUUGAACCCAGGAGGCGGAGUUGCAGUGAGCCGAGAUCACACCAUUGCACACCAGCCUGAGCAACAAGAGCGAAACUCUGCUAAAAAAAAAAAAAAAAGAAGGAAACUCCUAGGGUCGGCUACAGAUGCCACCUUUCUACCAGCCAGGUGACAUAGUCCAGUAAGAGGUGGAUAGCAGACGAGCUGAGACAGCUCACCUCCAUCCUGUCAAUUCCCAAAGGGCCCCUCUUUACCCCUGGGCCAAGGUUCAGGCUUUAGGCCCCUCUCCCCAAAUUAGGGAUCAUGGAGCAGCUUCUUUACCCUUCUACAGGUUUUGCCCCACGAGUCUAGUCCUCAGGCCGAGCUAUGAUCUUUCCAGAGUCCCACUGUCCUUGAGACAGAACUCAAGUUCCUGACCUGGCUGCCCAAGUCCACCUUGAUCUGUCCUCACCUAUAUCUCUGCUUCCCCUGUGCCCAUUCAACAUGCCUGCCAUUUAGCAAACCCACCCUGAUCUUUGGGCAUACUGUCCCUUCUCUCUGAGAUGUCUCAAAGGAUAGAAAGCAGAGGAACAGAAAGAGCUUUCUAGGCAGGGAAAGAAGCAGAAGAAGGAAGGAGACCAAGGGCAGUGUCCAGCAGAGCAGGGCUUAGUGUAGGUGAGAGAGGAGGGGCACGGCCGAAGUGCUGGGGGAUACAAGCCUGCACCCCUCCUGUGGGUGAUGGGCACCAGGGGAGGUUGUGGAGCAGGAGACUGGCAUGGCUGGAGCCUGGGUAUGCACAGUCAAGCCAGCCCUGCUCUCAACAGGCUCCAAACCCCACCCUCACGAUGACGCCCAGAAACCACACAGACGAGGAGCUGUUUCUUGACUGUUAGUUGGGCCUUGGCCUAUGUCAUACCCAUGGGCUGCCACAUGGGGGUGGAGGGAUCAGGACGAAGAGAGGGGACCAGA